AGCAUUCCUAAAGGGGAGUAGCUGGGACAAUAAAGUCGUCAUUUCGGGAAACAUUCCCCGGCUUUAUUGGCAACGGAAGUUGUUAGCGAGACCUUUACCCACUGU
This 105-nucleotide unclassified non-coding RNA is filed under the name Halobacillus karajensis. RNAcentral's name for it is "yybP-ykoY". The record is from RNAcentral. Lineage: Bacteria; Bacillati; Bacillota; Bacilli; Caryophanales; Bacillaceae.